GACGAACGCUGGCGGCGUGCUUAACACAUGCAAGUCGAACGGAAAGGCCCUGCUUGCAGGGUACUCGAGUGGCGAACGGGUGAGUAACACGUGGGUGAUCUGCCCUGCACUUCGGGAUAAGCCUGGGAAACUGGGUCUAAUACCGGAUAGGAGCCAUUUUUAGUGUGAUGGUUGGAAAGUUUUUUCGGUGUAGGAUGAGCUCGCGGCCUAUCAGCUUGUUGGUGGGGUAAUGGCCUACCAAGGCGGCGACGGGUAGCCGGCCUGAGAGGGUGGACGGCCACAUUGGGACUGAGAUACGGCCCAGACUCCUACGGAGGCAGCAGUGGGGAAUAUUACACAAUGGGCGCAAGCCUGAUGCAGCGACGCCGCGUGGGGGAUGACGGCCUUCGGGUUGUAAACUCCUUUCGCUAGGGACGAAGCUUUUUGUGACGGUACCUAGAUAAGAAGCACCGGCUAACUACGUG
Molecule: ribosomal RNA, 464 nt
Filed under: uncultured bacterium
Lineage: Bacteria
Description: partial 16S ribosomal RNA
Rfam family: Bacterial small subunit ribosomal RNA
Source: RNAcentral